AUUACAGCUCCCGUCUCCAUGCACAAAGGUUGUUCUCGUGGUCCUAAAGGAAAGCAGAGAGAAUCAAGGAAUCUCCUGUAACGUUUCCCCCAGUAAUUGGGAUUUCCUUUGCAGGUGAUGUUACUGGGUGUCAAGUCAUGGCCCUGCUCUGGUGGCAGCACGUGAGGUGUGAGCCUCCAACUGCCUCUGGUUGCAGUGCAGGGAGCGUUUUCAGCACUGUGGUUAUCAGCACUUCUGUCAGAAGUUGAAGUUCUCCAGCUUGGGCGCUAAAAUAAAUCAGCAAGCCCACUUUGAUAAAAGAAAGGGUCGCUGCCUGUCGGUUCACCUUGGUGAAGAAACAGACUUGGCGUGGAGCAGGGAUGCAGUGCAAUGGCUGUGCUGUGGCCAAGCAUCUUUGUUCAAGACCCUCUCCACCAACAAAACCAUCCCUUUGGUUCUAAUGAAAUCCUGGGACCCAGCACUUGAUAGGAAUUCUUCCCCUUUGUGUUGGGACGAAGGCAGUUAAUGAUGGUUUUGUACUUGGCUGGGGAAUGGCGAUAAGGAGAGAACAAACACUGCAUCCCUUGGAGAGGCAGCACGUACGUAUCCUGGAUCUCUGUCUUGGCUUUGAUCUGAUCUGAGGAACGAGAAGGAGAUGACUUAAAUGAAAUGAAGGGGUAAAAGCAGAUUUCUGGAAGGAGAUCCCAGGUGCAUCACCUUCAGGGAUGUCAGGAAGGCUCCCCUGUAAGCUGCCCUGGGGGCUGCAGGGCUCAGACCUGCAGAUGCUGAGUCUCCAUGAGUGGAGUUACACUGCUUGAUUACAUGCUUACCUUUCAGCAGCUGAUUAAAAGGUUUGAUUGCUAAAUUUGAACUCCAAUUAGUUUAGUGGGGGCACCAAAACUAAUGACAUUUACACGAAUUAGCUUUGAUAUCAGAAUCCAAGGAUGACAUAGAAUCUUCACUAUGUCUGUAAUAAGAAAUUCUAUUCUAGACUCUGUAGAAACUCAGUUUCUUAUGUACUGCUGGUUAAAAAAAUAAUUUUCAUUGCCUUUACACAUUAAAUCUCUCACACAUUUGCUGAUAUUGCUCUGCAUGUUAGUGGCUUUUUGAAAGAGUUUUAAAUGAAUGUUC
RNAcentral lists this long non-coding RNA (1110 nucleotides) under Phasianus colchicus (ring-necked pheasant). RNAcentral's name for it is "lncRNA (ENSPCLG00000006370.1)". Lineage: Eukaryota; Metazoa; Chordata; Aves; Galliformes; Phasianidae. The record is from RNAcentral.